RNAcentral lists this ribosomal RNA (435 nucleotides) under uncultured bacterium. RNAcentral describes it as "bacterial SSU rRNA". It matches the Rfam family "Bacterial small subunit ribosomal RNA", at positions 29 to 511 of the family's 1533-position model. The record is from RNAcentral.
AACGAACGCUGGCGGCAGGCUUAACACAUGCAAGUCGAGCGCUGUAGCAAUACAGAGCGGCGCACGGGUGAGUAACACGUGGGAACAUGCCUUUCGGUUCGGAAUAACUCAGGGAAACUUGUGCUAAUACCGGAUACGCCCUUACGGGAAAGAUUUAUUGCCGAAAGAGUGGCCCGCGUUGGAUUAGCUAGUUGGCGGGGUAAAGACCCACCAAGGUGACGAUCCAUAGCUGGUCNGAGAGGACGACCAGCCACACUGGGACUGAGACACGGCCCAGACUCCUACGGGAGGCAGCAGUGGGGAAUCUUGGACAAUGGGGGAAACCCUGAUCCAGCCAUGCCGCGUGAGUGAUGAAGGCCCUAGGGUUGUAAAACUCUUUCGACGGGACGAUAAUGACGGUACCCGUAGAAGAAGCUCCGGCUAACUUCGUGCCAG